RNAcentral lists this unclassified non-coding RNA (372 nucleotides) under soil metagenome. Its description in RNAcentral is "partial contains 5.8S ribosomal RNA, internal transcribed spacer 2, and large subunit ribosomal RNA". The stretch from base 1 to 120 matches the Rfam family "5.8S ribosomal RNA", at positions 35 to 154 of the family's 154-position model. The record is from RNAcentral.
GAUGAAGAACGUAGCGAAAUGCGAUAAGUAGUGUGAAUUGCAGAAUUCAGUGAAUCAUCGAAUCUUUGAACGCACAUUGCGCCCCUUGGUAUCCCGAGGGGCAUGCCUGUUCGAGCGUCAUUAUCACCCCUCAAGCCCUCGGCUUGGUGUUGGACGGUUUGGUGGAGGCCCCCUCGGGGGCUCCUGCCCCUCCCAAAGACAAUGACGGCGGCCUCGUUGGACCCCCGGUACACUGAGUUCUUCACGGGACACGUAUCGGACACAUGGGUUUACGGGACACGGUCUGCCUCCCCUCAGGGAGAAUCUUUCUAAGGUUGACCUCGGAUCAGGUAGGGAUACCCGCUGAACUUAAGCAUAUCAAUAAGCGGAGGA